UGAGUGUUUUAGCAUCUUUGCCUCUGAAUU
This 30-nucleotide non-coding RNA is filed under the name Rattus norvegicus (Norway rat). The record is from RNAcentral. Lineage: Eukaryota; Metazoa; Chordata; Mammalia; Rodentia; Muridae.